GACAGAGGGUGCAAACGUUGUUCGGAAUUACUGGGCGUAAAGCGCGUGUAGGCGGCCCGAUAAGUCCGCUGUGAAAGUCGGGGGCUCAACCUCGGAUGCCGGUGGAUACUGUCGGGCUAGAGUGCGGGAGAGGAGAGUGGAAUUCCGUGGUGUAGCGGUGAAAUGCGCAGAUAUCAGGAAGAACACCCGUGGCUAAGGCGGCUCUCUAGUACGGUA
RNAcentral lists this ribosomal RNA (216 nucleotides) under uncultured bacterium. RNAcentral describes it as "partial 16S ribosomal RNA". It matches the Rfam family "Bacterial small subunit ribosomal RNA", at positions 524 to 739 of the family's 1533-position model. The record is from RNAcentral.